RNAcentral lists this ribosomal RNA (254 nucleotides) under uncultured bacterium. Its description in RNAcentral is "partial 16S ribosomal RNA". It matches the Rfam family "Bacterial small subunit ribosomal RNA", at positions 524 to 776 of the family's 1533-position model. The record is from RNAcentral.
UACGGGGGGAGCAAGCGUUGUUCGGAUUUACUGGGCGUAAAGGGCGCGUAGGCGGCCAGCACAAGUCAGUUGUGAAAUCUCCGAGCUUAACUCGGAACGGUCAACUGAUACUGUGCGGCUAGAGUGCAGAAGGGGCAACUGGAAUUCUUGGUGUAGCGGUGAAAUGCGUAGAUAUCAAGAGGAACACCAGUGGCGAAGGCGACUACCUGGCCUGUUCUUGACGCUGAGGCGCGAAAGCUAGGGGAGCAAACGGG